UGGGGAAUAUUGGACAAUGGGCGAAAGCCUGAUCCAGCCAUGCCGCGUGUGUGAAGAAGGUCUUCGGAUUGUAAAGCACUUUAAGUUGGGAGGAAGGGUUGUAGAUUAAUACUCUGCAAUUUUGACGUUACCGACAGAAUAAGCACCGGCUAACUCUGUGCCAGCAGCCGCGGUAAUACAGAGGGCGCAAGCGUUAAUCGGAAUUACUGGGCGUAAAGCGCGCGUAGGUGGUUAGUUAAGUUGGAUGUGAAAUCCCCGGGCUCAACCUGGGAACUGCAUUCAAAACUGACUGACUAGAGUAUGGUAGAGGGUGGUGGAAUUUCCUGUGUAGCGGUGAAAUGCGUAGAUAUAGGAAGGAACACCAGUGGCGAAGGCGACCACCUGGACUGAUACUGACACUGAGGUGC
RNAcentral lists this ribosomal RNA (407 nucleotides) under uncultured bacterium. RNAcentral's name for it is "bacterial SSU rRNA". It matches the Rfam family "Bacterial small subunit ribosomal RNA", at positions 355 to 754 of the family's 1533-position model. The record is from RNAcentral.